GAACCUCCUUCGGGAGGGGAUUAGUGGCGAACGGGUGAGUAACACGUGGGCAAUCUGCCCUGCACUCUGGGACAAGCCCUGGAAACGGGGUCUAAUACCGGAUACUGAUCAUCUUGGGCAUCCUUGGUGAUCGAAAGCUCCGGCGGUGCAGGAUGAGCCCGCGGCCUAUCAGCUUGUUGGUGAGGUAACGGCUCACCAAGGCGACGACGGGUAGCCGGCCUGAGAGGGCGACCGGCCACACUGGGACUGAGACACGGCCCAGACUCCUACGGGAGGCAGCAGUGGGGAAUAUUGCACAAUGGGCGCAAGCCUGAUGCAGCGACGCCGCGUGAGGGAUGACGGCCUUCGGGUUGUAAACCUCUUUCAGCAGGGAAGAAGCGCAAGUGACGGUACCUGCAGAAGAAGCGCCGGCUAACUACGUGCCAGCAGCCGCGGUAAUACGUAGGGCGCGAGCGUUGUCCGGAAUUAUUGGGCGUAAAGAGCUCGUAGGCGGCUUGUCGCGUCGGUUGUGAAAGCCCGGGGCUUAACCCCGGGUCUGCAGUCGAUACGGGCAGGCUAGAGUUCGGUAGGGGAGAUCGGAAUUCCUGGUGUAGCGGUGAAAUGCGCAGAUAUCAGGAGGAACACCGGUGGCGAAGGCGGAUCUCUGGGCCGAUACUGACGCUGAGGAGCGAAAGCGUGGGGAGCGAACAGGAUUAGAUACCCUGGUAGUCCACGCCGUAAACGGUGGGCACUAGGUGUGGCGACAUUCCACGUCGUCCGUGCCGCAGCUAACGCAUUAAGUGCCCCGCCUGGGG
This 794-nucleotide ribosomal RNA is filed under the name Streptomyces werraensis. RNAcentral's name for it is "bacterial SSU rRNA". It matches the Rfam family "Bacterial small subunit ribosomal RNA", at positions 71 to 878 of the family's 1533-position model. Lineage: Bacteria; Bacillati; Actinomycetota; Actinomycetes; Kitasatosporales; Streptomycetaceae. The record is from RNAcentral.